ACUCCUACGGGAGGCAGCAGUAGGGAAUCUUCCGCAAUGGACGAAAGUCUGACGGAGCAACGCCGCGUGAGUGAUGAAGGUUUUCGGAUCGUAAAGCUCUGUUGUUAGGGAAGAACAAGUGCCGUUCGAAUAGGGCGGUACCUUGACGGUACCUAACCAGAAAGCCACGGCUAACUACGUGCCAGCAGCCGCGGUAAUACA
Molecule: ribosomal RNA, 201 nt
Filed under: uncultured Bacillus sp.
Lineage: Bacteria; Bacillati; Bacillota; Bacilli; Caryophanales; Bacillaceae
Description: partial 16S ribosomal RNA
Rfam family: Bacterial small subunit ribosomal RNA
Source: RNAcentral